Molecule: unclassified non-coding RNA, 358 nt
Filed under: Hevea brasiliensis (rubber tree)
Lineage: Eukaryota; Viridiplantae; Streptophyta; Magnoliopsida; Malpighiales; Euphorbiaceae
Source: RNAcentral
AUAUGACUUUCAGUCAAGGCAGAAACAGAAAAUUCUUCUUCGGUUGGACCAAUAUCAUUUUCAUAAGAGUAAACAACAUCCUCUGCAGCAACAGCAAACUCGUCUUUGUCCUCAUUAGAGUUGCCAACACCUUCAACUACAGAAUCAGCUGGAAGUUUCGAAGUCAUUGGCUUCCCAACAGAUUCCAUUCGCAUCGACGGAUUCAAGCUACUCAAAGCUCUUUCUUCACCACUCUUGCUUUUGUUUCUAGGAGAAAAUGAACUGGAAGGAACCAAAUUAAGCCUCUCCGUGGAAUUCGACAAUAGUAUCUUAUCAGUCCGAUUUAAACUCGAAUCCUCAUUCAACCACUCAUUCGAAA